Molecule: ribosomal RNA, 253 nt
Filed under: uncultured bacterium
Lineage: Bacteria
Description: partial 16S ribosomal RNA
Rfam family: Bacterial small subunit ribosomal RNA
Source: RNAcentral
UACGUAGGUGGCAAGCGUUGUCCGGAUUUACUGGGCGUAAAGGGCGCGUAGGCGGCCCGCUAAGUCGAACGUGAAAUCCCCGGGCUUAACCCGGGAACUGCGUCCGAUACUGGCAGGCUUGAAUCCGGGAGAGGGAUGUGGAAUUCCAGGUGUAGCGGUGAAAUGCGUAGAUAUCUGGAGGAACACCGGUGGCGAAGGCGGCAUCCUGGACCGGUAUUGACGCUGAGGCGCGAAAGCUAGGGGAGCAAACGGG